CAUCAGUGUCUUACCUGCAAUGUCCCCAUCUGAGCCUUAUAUCAUGUAGACUGGAAAUAGCUCACACCCUCAUAUUUAAGUGGCCAUUUUU
Ceratotherium simum simum (southern white rhinoceros) is the source of this 91-nucleotide non-coding RNA. NCBI's taxonomy places the organism in Eukaryota, Metazoa, Chordata, Mammalia, Perissodactyla, Rhinocerotidae. The record is from RefSeq and is a predicted model, not a curated record.